Molecule: long non-coding RNA, 812 nt
Organism: Hyla sarda
Lineage: Eukaryota; Metazoa; Chordata; Amphibia; Anura; Hylidae
Exons: 4
Source: RefSeq, a predicted model, not a curated record
AGCAACUCUUCCUCUGGACAGGUUUUGAUAAAUCUCCCCCCCAUGUUCAUCCCGGAACAAUCAGAUUUCUAGGCUGGCAAGGGCUAAGAAGCAGCGGUAGAUUCAUUCGCCUAGAAGUACACGAGUUGUCUCUUAGUCCGGCUGCAGAAUGAUCUUUUCGACACCAAUUAGCUCUGGAAGCUUCUGAGGAUGAAAGGUACGUAUAUAGAGUUAAGGCGACUCGACCAGAGAGGUGAUGACGUCCCCACAGCACAGACUCAGUGGUGUAAAGCAGACGCAGUGCAGCCUCAGGGAGCGUCAGUCAGCAGAGCCAGGUCAGGCUGGUGGUCCAGCAGUAUCAGGAAGCCAAUGGCAGCCAGAGUCAGUUCAGGGACAUUACAAGAUUCCAGCUGAAGUGGAAUACUCCGCAUAAACCUGUCCCAGAAGCCCAUUUACCUGGUGUCGGUGCUCCUGGAGAACAGUUGGCUCGCUGGUGUCUGACGCACAUCUGCAGCUGCUCCGCUCUCUCUCUGACAUGCAGACAUCGCAGAAAUGAACACCAGACCUCAAGUAAAUAACCUUACGGGACUGGGCUUUUAGUCGAGAUACUGAGAAGACUGACUACAGCAAAUAUGGGGUUGAAUGAUCAUUUAACUUUAACAGAUAAACAGAUGCUAUGUGUCUGCUCUGGAAAACCUAAAAAGAAGAAAUAGAUGAAUGUUCUUGUUUAUGGUUCAUAAAAAACUUCGGUCUCUUGAGAACUUUUUUUUUUAGAUAGCAAAAAUUUGAAAUUGUUUACAGUGGCUGUUAGGAUUUGGCAGGCUGGAUGUGGA